Molecule: ribosomal RNA, 253 nt
Filed under: uncultured bacterium
Lineage: Bacteria
Description: partial 16S ribosomal RNA
Rfam family: Bacterial small subunit ribosomal RNA
Source: RNAcentral
UACGGAGGGUGCAAGCGUUGUUCGGAAUUAUUGGGCGUAAAGCGCACGUAGGCGGGUUUGUAUGUCGAUUGUGAAAGCCCCGGGCUCAACCUGGGAAUUGCAGUCGAAACUGCAGAUCUUGAAUACCUAAGGGGGUGGGAGAAUUGCUGGUGGAGUAGUGAAAUACGUAGAGAUCAGCAGGAAUACCUGAGGCGAAGGCGCCUACCUGGUAGUGUAUUGACGCUGAGGUGCGAAAGCGUGGGGAGCAAACAGG